Molecule: ribosomal RNA, 277 nt
Filed under: uncultured prokaryote
Description: partial 16S ribosomal RNA
Rfam family: Bacterial small subunit ribosomal RNA
Source: RNAcentral
UACGUAGGGGCAAGCGUUGUCCGGAAUGACUGGGCGUAAAGGGCGUGUAGGCGGCUUUUUAAGUCUGGAGUGAAAGUCCAUUUUUCAAGGAUGGAAUUGCUUUGGAUACUGGAAAGCUUGAGUGCGGAAGAGGUAAGUGGAAUUCCCAGUGUAGCUGUGAAAUGCGUAGAGAUUGGGAGGAACACCAGUGGCGAAGGCGACUUACUGGGCCGUAACUGACGCUGAGGCGCGAAGGCGUGGGGAGCGAACAGGAUUAGAUACCCGCGUAGUCCCUGAG